This 916-nucleotide ribosomal RNA is filed under the name uncultured Candidatus Poseidoniales archaeon. RNAcentral's name for it is "bacterial SSU rRNA". It matches the Rfam family "Archaeal small subunit ribosomal RNA", at positions 1 to 923 of the family's 1478-position model. The record is from RNAcentral. Lineage: Archaea; Methanobacteriati; Thermoplasmatota; Candidatus Poseidoniia; Candidatus Poseidoniales.
UUCCGGUUGAUCCUGCCGGAGGCUACCGCUAUUGGAGUUCGAUUAAGCCAUGCGAGUCCAGAGCUUUCGGAGCUCGGCGUACCGCUCAGUAACACGUGGGUAACCUAACCUAUGCAGGGGAAUAACCUCGGGAAACUGAGAAUAAUGCCCCAUAGUCCACUACGCCUGGAACGGUGAGUGGAUCAAAGCUCAGGCGGCAUAGGAUGGGCCUGCGGCGUAUCAGGUUGUAGGGGGUGUAAAGUACCCUCUAGCCAUCUACGCGUACGGGUGUUGGGAGACAUAGCCCGGAGAUGGAUUCUGAGACACGAAUCCAGACCCUACGGGGUGCAGCAGGCGCGAAAACUUGACAAUGCGAGCAAUCGUGAUCAGGGAACUCCAAGUGGCUGGGGUAAGACCCAGUCUUUUCAUAACUCUUCAAAGGUUGUAGAAUAAGGGGUGGGUAAGGACGGUGCCAGCCGCCGCGGUAAUACCGGCGCCUCAAGUGGUAGUCGCUUUUAUUGGGCCUAAAACGUCCGUAGCCGGUUUGGUACAUUCGUGGGUAAAUCAACUCGCUCAACGAGUUGAAUUCUGCGAGGACGGCCAAACUUGGGACCGGGAGAGGUGUGGGGUACUCUCAGGGUAGGGGUAAAAUCCUGUCAUCCUGAGAGGACCACCUGUUGCGAAGGCGCCACACUAGAACGGAUCCGACGGUCAGGGACGAAGCCUAGGGGCACGAACCGGAUUAGAUACCCGGGUAGUCCUAGGUGUAAACGCUGUGGACUUGAUGUUGGAGAAGCUCCGAGCUUCUUCAGUGUCGAAGCGAAGGUGAUAAGUCCACUGCCUGGGAAGUACGGUCGCAAGGCUGAAACUUAAAGGAAUUGGUGGGGGAGCACCGCAACCUGAGGAUUGUGCGGUUUAAUUGGACUCAACGCCGGAA